UCCGGGUUGAACCCGGCGGUCCCGCCAGACGUAGUAACUAACGACGGGGGUUGCGCUCGUUGCGGGACUUAACCCAACACCUCACGACAUGAGCUGACGACAGCCAUGCACCACCUGUGCACCGGCCCCGAAGGGCUGCCGUAUUUCUACGACAUUCCAGUGCAUGUCAAGCCUUGGUAAGGUUCUUCGCGUUGCGUCGAAUUAAACCACAUGCUCCGCUGCUUGUGCGGACCCCCGUCAAUUCCUUUGAGUUUCAGCCUUGCGGCCGUACUCCCCAGGCGGGGUACUUCCUGCGUUAGCGCCGGCACCCAGAGGGUCGCUCCCCCAGGCACCUAGUACCCAUCGUUUACGGCGUGGACUAC
RNAcentral lists this unclassified non-coding RNA (362 nucleotides) under uncultured bacterium. RNAcentral's name for it is "contains 16S-23S intergenic spacer region". The record is from RNAcentral.